Molecule: transfer RNA, 49 nt
Filed under: Geothlypis tolmiei (MacGillivray's warbler)
Lineage: Eukaryota; Metazoa; Chordata; Aves; Passeriformes; Parulidae
Description: partial tRNA-Phe
Source: RNAcentral
AGCAUGACACUGAAGAUGUCAAGAUGGCUGCCACACACACCCGAGGACA